Molecule: ribosomal RNA, 437 nt
Filed under: Asessinia geniculata
Lineage: Eukaryota; Metazoa; Arthropoda; Insecta; Coleoptera; Oedemeridae
Description: partial 16S ribosomal RNA
Rfam family: Bacterial large subunit ribosomal RNA (bases 315-437)
Source: RNAcentral
CUGUGCAAAGGUAGCAUAAUCAUUAGUUUUUUAAUUGAAAGCUGGAAUGAAAGGUUUGAUGAGAAAAUUGCUGUUUCGAUAUUAAAAUUGAAUUUUAUUUUUAAGUUAAAAAGCUUAAAUUUUUUAAAAAGACGAGAAGACCCUAUAGAGUUUGAUAAAUAAGUUAAUAAUUUUAUUUGGAUUUAAAAAUAAAUUAUUUAUUUGUUUGUUUUAUUGGGGUGAUAUAAAAAUUAAAUAAAUUUUUUAUUUAUUUGAACAUUAAUUGAUGAAUAAUUGAUCUUAAUUUUUGGAUUAAAAGAAAAAAUUACCUUAGGGAUAACAGCGUAAUUUUUUUUGAGAGUUCUUAUCGAAAAAAAAGGUUGCGACCUCGAUGUUGGAUUAAAGUAAAAUUUUGGUGUAGAAGUUAAAAUUUUUAGGUCUGUUCGACCUUUAAAACU